CAAGCCUCUCGUACGACCCCCUCACCCCCCGAUUUUCUUUCCCCCGUCCCAGUCCCACCUCUCGUACGACCCACUCGAUUUUCUUUCCCCCUCUGGCCUGCUCCUCAUGCCGGCGUCCGGCGCCACCGCUACCAACCUCCAGCCGUCGUCCAAAACAACAGCACCAUGGAUCCCGAUGUGGAGCUCCACUGCAGCCCGAUCUGACCUGGGAGCAACCAGAUCCGUGCGUCUCCGCCUCGCUCCGCGUGCCUCCAUGGUCCGCCGUCUUCCCGAGCGCCGGCGCCACGCGACCAGAUCCGUGCGUCUCCGCCUCGCUCCGCGCGCCUCCAUGGUCCGCCGUCUUCCCGAGCGCCGGCGCCACGCGACCAGAUCCGUGCGUCUCCGCCUCGCUCCGCGCGCCUCCAUGGUCCGCCGUCUUCCCGAGCGCCGGCGCUGCGCUCAGCCGCCGCCAUCCCGUGCCAUGGUCGCCUCCCUCCAGAACGACGUGCCAUGGUCGCUUCCCUGCCUCUCCGGCAAGUGGGCCUUUGCGUUUCUUUGCUUUUUUUCAGGACACUAGGUGCCAGGUCUGGUGACCCAAGACUAUUGCUUUCAGUUAUUCAAUGGUGUUCAUACUGCAUAUUGCUAUCAGAUAUGCCAUUGCCUGCAGCGGCAAGCUUGAAUGCCAUGUUUGCAUGUUUAUUUGAUUCAAGUGUAUAGAUAAGGGGUAAACUGAACCAUGCUAAUUCGCUACCAGGUUGGAGAUUUGGGAUCGGAUGCGCCAAUAACAAGGGACCAAGGUGAUGAACUAACGGCACAGGCAGAAUGAUUCUUCAGGAUGAAUCAGAAACUGAAGAUGAUGAUACAAUGGACACAGAAGAAGCUUCCUCUGUCCUCAUCACUGCACUGUAGUCUUUCAGCCAAGCUCUGGUGAAUGAUGACGGAGAAAAAGAUAUCGUGACAGAGGUUCAUGUCUUCUUGUGUCCAACCCUAGAUCACAGGGGCUCUCUUAUCAGCAAAAUAGCUACUCUAGAUGCGCAGAUGACGAUCCAGCCGCGGUUGCGCUUUAUCUCGUCGGGACGAAAUAGCCCUGCCUUGUCCCUGCCGCCGCCGGUAGAGGCUAUUUUCCAUAGGCCAAGGAAACAACAUGGACAUGCUGCCCUUUUUCCCAAUCAAAAUACUUCUGUGUGGAGAGCUCGGGCGUCGGUGGUUGUGUCGAAGCAGAGCUCGGUCAUCGGUGACAGCACGGCCGGCUGAUUUGCGACUGGUCGGAUGGCGAGCUUCACAUACCUGUGCGCGUACGCAUGGGUAACACACUAUAUUGGCCGCGCAAGAGCAAGUUCACAGUGAUUGCAAGGGGAGAGAUGUGCUGCACUUAUGUCAGUAAUCACGGCAGGCCCAUAUCCAUUAUAUGCAUAUUUUGUUAGUACUAUUGUAAUUUAGCAAGUUCUUGUUCUUUCCGUAAGUUGUUUGCUGAACAUUUCAUGCCGCCUUGAGCAUGCAAAAGUACUUCUGAAUUUUGCAUGAUAUUUUGUUAGUCAUAAAUCACGUCACACACCACAUCUAUAUUUUUUUUUUGGUAGUUUAAAAAUAACUAUUCUAAAUGUUCUUUUAAUAACUAUUCUAAAUGUACUAUAGACCGAAGUCAGAAUAUUGGUAAGCUCAUUCUUUUUGUAAGCUAUGGAGAUGAAUUUGAUGAGUUGUGUGAAGAUGAAAGGAAGCCGAUGGAAUAUACUUUGAUUAGCAGUGACCUUGGAGAGCGAAUGGUGCCCCUACAUAGACUUUACUGAAAAGUUGCUAUUUAAUGUUUUUUUGGUUAGAGAAAAGAUCACAGUGGACACAACUGCAGAAGCAGCGAUUCAAUGUUUUAUUCAGUUUAACCAUGACUAUUCUUUUCAUUCAGAUAUGGUAUGAACUAAAUUAUGUAUCUUCUUCGCCCUUGAAUUGGAUAAUUACCGUGGUUUCAUCUUUUGACUCAGAUAUGCGCAAGGAAUUGAAUAGGUGCUGGUUUUUUUAUCAUAAUCUGUCCACCGACAAUGCAUACGAAAGUAGAUAUGAAGGACUAUUUUAUGCCAUUUGAUUGGAACACUAAACUAGGUUUUGUUGGUUCUUGAGUGAAAAGAUAGUUGAUGGUGGAACAAGGUGCCCCAGAUUAAUUAGGAAAUGAGAAAGUUGCAUUUUGGUGAUCC
Non-coding RNA from Aegilops tauschii subsp. strangulata, 2165 nucleotides. Lineage: Eukaryota; Viridiplantae; Streptophyta; Magnoliopsida; Poales; Poaceae. The record is from RefSeq and is a predicted model, not a curated record.